RNAcentral lists this ribosomal RNA (459 nucleotides) under uncultured bacterium. RNAcentral describes it as "partial 16S ribosomal RNA". It matches the Rfam family "Bacterial small subunit ribosomal RNA", at positions 338 to 795 of the family's 1533-position model. The record is from RNAcentral.
CCUACGGGAGGCAGCAGUGAGGAAUAUUGGUCAAUGGACGGAAGUCUGAACCAGCCAUGCCGCGUGCAGGAAGACGGCUCUAUGAGUUGUAAACUGCUUUUGUACAAGGGUAAACCUGAAUACGUGUAUUCAGCUGAAAGUACUGUACGAAUAAGGAUCGGCUAACUCCGUGCCAGCAGCCGCGGUAAUACGGAGGAUGCGAGCGUUAUCCGGAUUUAUUGUGUUUAAAGGGUACGUAGGCGGGCUUUUAAUGCCGCGGUAAAAAUUCGGGGCUAAACCCCGUCAGGCCGUUGAAACUGGGGGCCUUGAGUGGGCGAGAAGUAGGCGGAAGGCGGGGUGGAGCGGUGAAAUGCAUAGAUAUCACGCAGAACCCCGAUUGCGAAGGCAGCCUUCCGGCGCCCUACUGACGCUGAGGCACGAAAGUGCGGGGAUCGAACAGGAUUAGAUACCCCAGUAGUC